AUGAGGCGAACCGGGGGAACUGAAACAUCUAAGUACCCCGAGGAAAAGAAAUCAACCGAGAUUCCCCCAGUAGCGGCGAGCGAACGGGGAGGAGCCCAGAGCCUGAAUCAGCAUGUGUGUUAGUGGAAGCGUCUGGAAAGGCGCGCGAUACAGGGUGACAGCCCCGUACACAAAAGCGCAUGUGCUGUGAGCUCGAUGAGUAGGGCGGGACACGUGGUAUCCUGUCUGAAUAUGGGGGGACCAUCCUCCAAGGCUAAAUACUCCUGACUGACCGAUAGUGAACCAGUACCGUGAGGGAAAGGCGAAAAGAACCCCGGCGAGGGGAGUGAAAAAGAACCUGAAACCGUGUACGUACAAGCAGUGGGAGCACCCUUUUGGGUGUGACUGCGUACCUUUUGUAUAAUGGGUCAGCGACUUAUAUUCUGUAGCAAGGUUAACCGAAUAGGGGAGCCGGAGGGAAACCGAGUCUUAAU
RNAcentral lists this ribosomal RNA (473 nucleotides) under Salmonella enterica. Its description in RNAcentral is "partial 23S ribosomal RNA". It matches the Rfam family "Bacterial large subunit ribosomal RNA", at positions 174 to 688 of the family's 2925-position model. RNAcentral also lists the same sequence under 1 other name. Lineage: Bacteria; Pseudomonadati; Pseudomonadota; Gammaproteobacteria; Enterobacterales; Enterobacteriaceae. The record is from RNAcentral.